AGCAGUCGCCGCGGGAAUACAGAGGAUGCAAGCGUUAUCCGGAAUUAUUGGGCGUAAAGGGCUCGCAGGCGGUUUCUUAAGUCUGAUGUGAAAGCCCCCGGCUCAACCGGGGAGGGUCAUUGGAAACUGGGAAACUUGAGUGCAGAAGAGGAGAGUGGAAUUCCACGUGUAGCGGUGAAAUGCGUAGAGAUGUGGAGGAACACCAGUGGCGAAGGCGACUCUCUGGUCUGUAACUGACGCUGAGGAGCGAAAGCGUGGGGAGCGAACAGGAUUAGAUACCCCAGUAGUCCCUGUCUCUUAUAA
This 303-nucleotide ribosomal RNA is filed under the name uncultured bacterium. RNAcentral describes it as "partial 16S ribosomal RNA". It matches the Rfam family "Bacterial small subunit ribosomal RNA", at positions 507 to 809 of the family's 1533-position model. The record is from RNAcentral.